Molecule: transfer RNA, 71 nt
Filed under: Ictidomys tridecemlineatus (thirteen-lined ground squirrel)
Lineage: Eukaryota; Metazoa; Chordata; Mammalia; Rodentia; Sciuridae
Description: Spermophilus tridecemlineatus (thirteen-lined ground squirrel) tRNA
Rfam family: tRNA
About the family: Transfer RNA (tRNA) molecules are approximately 80 nucleotides in length.
Source: Rfam by way of RNAcentral
GGGGGUAUAGCUCAGUUGGUAGAGUGCUUGCCCCUCGUGCAAAAGGCUCUGGGUUUGAACCCCGGCCCCCU